UGUUUUCUCUCUCUCUGAAUCUUAAUUCUUUUUCCCCUUCUCUUUCUUACUAUCUUUCUCUGGUUUCCCUGCUGUAAUGUUUUGAUUAACCCAAGAUCCAUCCAUGGAGGACUCAUUCAAUUCCCCAAAGAACAAAAGGCAAAAACCUCUAAAGCCCCAAAACGAUGGUGAUGAUUCUUCUCAUGACCAAAGAAUGCCCAAAAGAAGAUUGUCUUGGACUGAUUCUCAUGAUCAAAGAAGGCCUUCUUCCAUUUCGAUGGAGGAAUCAGAG
Molecule: long non-coding RNA, 271 nt
Filed under: Amborella trichopoda
Lineage: Eukaryota; Viridiplantae; Streptophyta; Magnoliopsida; Amborellales; Amborellaceae
Description: long non-coding RNA (ATRI_LNC004146)
Source: RNAcentral